RNAcentral lists this ribosomal RNA (525 nucleotides) under uncultured bacterium. RNAcentral describes it as "partial 16S ribosomal RNA". The record is from RNAcentral.
CACGGAGUUAGCCGGGGUUUCCUUUAACGGUACCGUCAAUGUCGCGGGCUGUUAACCCGCAACCCAUUCGUCCCAUUCGACAGGAGUUUACGACCCGAAGAUCUUCAUCCUCCACGCGGCGUUGCGUCGUCAGGCUUGCGCCCAUUGCGAACAAUUCCCCACUGCUGCCUCCCGUAGGAGUCUGGGCCGUGUCUCAGUCCCAGUGUGUCCGUCCGCCCUCUCAGGCCGGAUACUGAUCGUUGCCUUGGUAGGCCAUUACCCCACCAACUAGCUAAUCAGACGCGGGCCCCUCUCCGAGUGCCAGGUCUUAGCGAUCCCCGGCUUUGAUCUCCGCCUCUUCAAGGCAGGAUGUUAUGCGGUAUAGCGUCCCUUUCGGGACGUUACUCCCCCGCUCGAGGCAGGUCCACCCACGUGUUACUCACCCGUUUGCCCUACUCUACUUCGCCCCUUGCCGGAGCUUUUCGCGUUCGACUUGCAUGUGUUAGGCACGCCGCCAGCGUUGAUUCUGAGCCAGGAUCAAACUCU